This 631-nucleotide ribosomal RNA is filed under the name uncultured bacterium. Its description in RNAcentral is "bacterial SSU rRNA". It matches the Rfam family "Bacterial small subunit ribosomal RNA", at positions 338 to 1415 of the family's 1533-position model. The record is from RNAcentral.
CCUACGGGAGGCAGCAGUGGGGAAUUUUGGACAAUGGACGCAAGUCUGAUCCAGCCAUUCCGCGUGCAGGACGAAGGCCUUCGGGUUGUAAACUGCUUUUGUACGGAACGAAAAAGCUCUUAUUAAUACUAGGAGUCCAUGACGGUACCGUAAGAAUAAGCACCGGCUAACUACGUGCCAGCAGCCGCGGUAAUACGUAGGGUGCAAGCGUUAAUCGGAAUUACUGGGCGUAAAGCGUGCGCAGGCGGUUACAUAAGACAGAUGUGAAAUCCCCGAGCUUAACUUGGGAACUGCAUUUGUGACUGUAUAGCUAGAGUACGGCAGAGGGGGAUGGAAUUCCGCGUGUAGCAGUGAAAUGCGUAGAUAUGCGGAGGAACACCGAUGGCGAAGGCAAUCCCCUGGGCCUGUACUGACGCUCAUGCACGAAAGCGUGGGGAGCAAACAGGAUUAGAUACCCUGGUAGUCCACGCCCUAAACGAUGUCAACUGGUUGUUGGGUCUUCACUGACUCAGUAACGAAGCUAACGCGUGAAGUUGACCGCCUGGGGGAGGACGGCCGCGAGGUAGUAACGUUAAAGGUAAGUUAGUACGGCGUGAGACGUAGACCGACGGACGACGACGAGGGAGGAGGG